UACGUAGGGCGCAAGCGUUAUCCGGAAUUAUUGGGCGUAAAGAGCUCGUAGGCGGUUUGUCGCGUCUGCCGUGAAAGUCCGGGGCUCAACUCCGGAUCUGCGGUGGGUACGGGCAGACUAGAGUGAUGUAGGGGAGACUGGAAUUCCUGGUGUAGGGGUGAAAUUCGUUGAUAUCAGGAGGAACACCGGCGGCGAAGGCGGCCCCCUGGCCCGCAACUGACGCUCAUGGUCGAAAGCGUGGGGAGCAAACAGG
Molecule: ribosomal RNA, 253 nt
Filed under: uncultured bacterium
Lineage: Bacteria
Description: partial 16S ribosomal RNA
Rfam family: Bacterial small subunit ribosomal RNA
Source: RNAcentral